GACGAACGCUGGCGGCGUGCUUAACACAUGCAAGUCGAACGGAAAGGCCCUGCUUUUGUGGGGUGCUCGAGUGGCGAACGGGUGAGUAACACGUGAGUAACCUGCCCUUGACUUUGGGAUAACUUCAGGAAACUGGGGCUAAUACCGGAUAGGAGCUCCUGCUGCAUGGUGGGGGUUGGAAAGUUUCGGCGGUUGGGGAUGGACUCGCGGCUUAUCAGCUUGUUGGUGGGGUAGUGGCUUACCAAGGCUUUGACGGGUAGCCGGCAUGAGAGGGUGACCGGCCACAUUGGGACUGAGAUACGGCCCAGACUCCUACGGGAGGCAGUAGUGGGGAAUAUUGCACAAUGGGCGGAAGCCUGAUGCAGCAACGCCGCGUGCGGGAUGACGGCCUUCGGGUUGUAAACCGCUUUCGCCUGUGACGAAGCGUGAGUGACGGUAAUGGGUAAAGAAGCACCGGCUAACUACGUG
This 468-nucleotide ribosomal RNA is filed under the name uncultured bacterium. RNAcentral describes it as "partial 16S ribosomal RNA". It matches the Rfam family "Bacterial small subunit ribosomal RNA", at positions 28 to 507 of the family's 1533-position model. The record is from RNAcentral.